UCCCUGUUACCAGGGCAGUCUGUUUAGAGAAAUACAACUAAACAAAGGGGUUGCGCUCGUUAAUGGACUUAACCAAACAUCUCACGACACGAGCUGACGACGGCCAUGCAUCACCUGUCACUGCGGCCCGAAGGCACUCUCGCCUUUCGGCAAGAUUAACAGGAUGUCAAGCCUGGGUAAGGUUCUUCGCUUACCAUCGAAUUAAACAACACGCUCCACCGCUUGUGCGGGUCCCCGUCAAUUCCUUUAUGUUUUAAGCUUGCGCUCGUACUCCACAGGCGGGAUGCUUAACGCGUUAGCUUCGCUACUACCAGGGUCGAUACUGAUAACAGCUAGCAUCCAUCGUUUACGGCGUGGACUAC
RNAcentral lists this unclassified non-coding RNA (362 nucleotides) under uncultured bacterium. RNAcentral's name for it is "contains 16S-23S intergenic spacer region". The record is from RNAcentral.